GAUGAACGCUAGCGAUAGGCCUAACACAUGCAAGUCGAGGGGCAUCACAUGAAGUAGCAAUACGGAUGGUGGCGACCGGCGCACGGGUGAGUAACACGUAUGCAACCUGCCUUCAACAAGGGGAUAACCCGUUGAAAGACGGACUAAUACCCUAUAACACAGGGGUCCCGCAUGGGGAUAUUUGUUAAAGAUUGAUCGGUUGAAGAUGGGCAUGCGUUCCAUUAGCUGGUUGGUGAGGUAACGGCUCACCAAGGCAACGAUGGAUAGGGGAACUGAGAGGUUUAUCCCCCACACUGGUACUGAGACACGGACCAGACUCCUACGGGAGGCAGCAGUGAGGAAUAUUGGUCAAUGGACGCAAGUCUGAACCAGCCACGUCGCGUGAAGGAAGACGGCCCUACGGGUUGUAAACUUCUUUUAUACGGGAAUAAAGUGCCCCACGCGUGGGGUUUUGCAUGUACCGUAUGAAUAAGGAUCGGCUAACUCCGUGCCAGCAGCCGCGGUAAGUCA
Molecule: ribosomal RNA, 510 nt
Filed under: uncultured bacterium
Lineage: Bacteria
Description: bacterial SSU rRNA
Rfam family: Bacterial small subunit ribosomal RNA
Source: RNAcentral